RNAcentral lists this ribosomal RNA (491 nucleotides) under uncultured bacterium. RNAcentral describes it as "bacterial SSU rRNA". It matches the Rfam family "Bacterial small subunit ribosomal RNA", at positions 28 to 507 of the family's 1533-position model. The record is from RNAcentral.
GAUGAACGCUAGCUACAGGCCUAACACAUGCAAGUCGAGGGGCAGCGGGAAGGAAGCUUGCUUUCUUCGCCGGCGACCGGCGCACGGGUGCGUAACGCGUAUCGAACCUACCCUUUACUCGGGAACAGCCUUGCGAAAGCAAGAUUAAUGCCCGAUGUUCCGCGUUUGCUGCAUGGCAAAUUCGGCAAAGAUUUAUUGGUAAAGGAUGGCGAUGCGUCCCAUUAGUUAGUUGGCGGGGUAACGGCCCACCAAGACGACGAUGGGUAGGGGUUCUGAGAGGAAGGUCCCCCACAUUGGAACUGAGACACGGUCCAAAACUCCUACGGGAGGCAGCAGUGAGGAAUAUUGGUCAAUGGGCGGAAGCCUGAACCAGCCAAGUAGCGUGCAGGAAGACGGCCCUAUGGGUUGUAAACUGCUUUUAUAAGGGAAUAAAGUGAGUCUCGUGAGACUUUUUGCAUGUACCUUAUGAAUAAGGACCGGCUAAUUCCGUG